Molecule: ribosomal RNA, 533 nt
Filed under: Bifidobacterium bifidum
Lineage: Bacteria; Bacillati; Actinomycetota; Actinomycetes; Bifidobacteriales; Bifidobacteriaceae
Description: bacterial SSU rRNA
Rfam family: Bacterial small subunit ribosomal RNA
Source: RNAcentral
CGGGUGGUAAUGCCGGAUGUUCCACAUGAUCGCAUGUGAUUGUGGGAAAGAUUUCAUCGGCGUGGGAUGGGGUCGCGUCCUAUCAGCUUGUUGGUGAGGUAACGGCUCACCAAGGCUUCGACGGGUAGCCGGCCUGAGAGGGCGACCGGCCACAUUGGGACUGAGAUACGGCCCAGACUCCUACGGGAGGCAGCAGUGGGGAAUAUUGCACAAUGGGCGCAAGCCUGAUGCAGCGACGCCGCGUGAGGGAUGGAGGCCUUCGGGUUGUAAACCUCUUUUGUUUGGGAGCAAGCCUUCGGGUGAGUGUACCUUUCGAAUAAGCGCCGGCUAACUACGUGCCAGCAGCCGCGGUAAUACGUAGGGCGCAAGCGUUAUCCGGAUUUAUUGGGCGUAAAGGGCUCGUAGGCGGCUCGUCGCGUCCGGUGUGAAAGUCCAUCGCUUAACGGUGGAUCUGCGCCGGGUACGGGCGGGCUGGAGUGCGGUAGGGGAGACUGGAAUUCCCGGUGUAACGGUGGAAUGUGUAGAUAUCGGGA